UACAGAGGUCUCAAGCGUUGUUCGGAUUCAUUGGGCGUAAAGGGGGCGUAGGCGGCGCGGUAAGUCGGGUGUGAAAUCUCGGGGCUUAACUCCGAAACUGCAUUCGAUACUGCCGUGCUUGAGGACUGGAGAGGAGACUGGAAUUUACGGUGUAGCGGUGAAAUGCGUAGAUAUCGUAAGGAAGACCAGUGGCGAAGGCGGGUCUCUGGACAGUUCCUGACUCUGAGGCACGAAGGCCAGGGGAGCAAACGGG
Molecule: ribosomal RNA, 253 nt
Filed under: uncultured bacterium
Lineage: Bacteria
Description: partial 16S ribosomal RNA
Rfam family: Bacterial small subunit ribosomal RNA
Source: RNAcentral